AUAAGUCUGAAAUAUUCGUAGAGCUCUUAUUUUGAACCUACAGAGUUCAUAAGGGAGUUCGAUAUUUAGUUGUGAAUUGUCCUUUAAGUCCAAAAGGAUUAUUUGGCAAGGACAGGGAAACAGCUGUGAGAACACCCACCUAUCAUAGAGAUAGGUGUCAAAAUCGGAGUAGCGGUAUUUUGGAUUUUAA
Molecule: non-coding RNA, 190 nt
Filed under: Clostridium homopropionicum
Lineage: Bacteria; Bacillati; Bacillota; Clostridia; Eubacteriales; Clostridiaceae
Also listed under: 1 other name
Description: 6S / SsrS RNA
Rfam family: 6S / SsrS RNA
About the family: E. coli 6S RNA was the first non coding RNA to be sequenced, but its function was unknown until recently.
Source: RNAcentral